Molecule: long non-coding RNA, 1335 nt
Filed under: Cercocebus atys (sooty mangabey)
Lineage: Eukaryota; Metazoa; Chordata; Mammalia; Primates; Cercopithecidae
Description: lncRNA (ENSCATG00000045857.1)
Source: RNAcentral
UUUUUUUUCUAACAGAUGAAGCAGUGCAUAAGCAUUUAUGAUGGGUGAAGCUGAUGUGUUGCAACGAAUAUCUCAUGCAGGCACUUUGGAUCCAACUCAACUCAUCACACAUUUAUGGUGCCAGAUGCCAAUUUGGAGAAGAAAGGGUCUUGUUCUCAUGAAGCUCACAGAGAAACAGACUCGCCCCAUGGAGGGGACAAAUUGGAUUCAUGACCAGACCUCUGAGGGGCUGCGUCUCCAGGCAGCUGGUGGGAAGCUGUCUGGAAACAAAUACAUUUUCCAGCUCGCUCGACCCUCACAUUUCCACAGCAGAAGAAUACCCUGAAAGUGUUUUUCACGUACGAUUUCAGAAUCCUCACGAAAAGUCUCAAGCGUUUCUCCAGUUAUAGGGAGAUUCUAAAAACGUGUGGAUCAAGGGGUACCGCUUCUACUUAUUAACUUACUUGUGGUAGGUGAUAUAUUCAUCACAUUCGCUUGUAUGUAGACAUUACACUCUUCUAAAGGCAUCCAGCCAUUCAUCCAAGUUCAUAGAGUAAUUAUUCAAGGCUCUCUGCCUCUAGUUACAAGAAGUGAGUUAAUAUGCUCCUGAGUCUGUCUGUAUUUUUAAUGAUCAUUUCAUUUCCCUCAUUAAGCAUUUAGGUUGCUCAUUUGAAACGUCCAAAUUGAUAAUGUUCUCAUCUUUCUGUGGUUUUCAUGGAAGCAUGAGAACUCCUCAAAGUCAGAGCAAUGGCUCUAAAAUGGAUCUGCUCCUGUCAACAGAGCUCCUGCACAGCCAGGACCAACGCCUGAGUAUCCAGGACCAUAUCUCCUAGCCCAGAAACAAUUCCUGCACACCUAAAGAUACCCAGUCAGCCCUCACCUUGCCUGUAAGCCCCCUUCCCAGGAAAUAAGAGCAGAAGAACAAAGAAGCCACAAAGUUUCAUCUCGAGGAUAUGGAAAUGAAAUACACUGUGUAACUGUUAAGGACUGAAUUAUGUCCUCCUGAAAUUCAUAUAUGGAGCCCUCAUGCCUAAUGUGACUGUAUUUGGAGACAGGGGCUUUAAAUAAGUCAUUAAGUGUAUUAGUCCAUUCUCACCCUGCUAAUAAAGACAUGCCUGAGACUAGGUAGUUUAUAAAGGAAAGAGGUUUGAUUGACUCACAGUUCCACGUGGCUGGGGAGGCCUCACUAACGUGGUGGAAGAUGAAGGAAAAGCAAAAAAUUGUCUUACAUGGCAGCCAACAAAGAGAACUUGUGCAGGGGAGCUCCCAUUUAUAAAACCAUCAGAUCUCAUGAGACUUAUUCACUCAGGCAAGAACAGUAUGGGGGCAACUGCCCCCAGGAUUCAAUGAUCUCCC